CAUCGUCAAAAACUUUGUUUCCUUUGUGAUCCACCACCUGAAUUCUUGCAUUUCCUCUAAUCACAUACAGGGCACUAUGUGCAUUGAUAUUCCAGUGUGGUGCAAAAAUGGCAUUCUGCAAUUACCAAACAACAAACUCAAUCACUCAUUUCACGUAACAAAAUUUAUGUAUUAAUGCUAUUGUGUUUGCUUACGCUGUAGAGGAAUCCUCUUUCUGCACUAAGUUGGAGGCUGCUGAGGAUAGGAAUCUUUUGGCUAUUAACAGUGGUAAUGCGGCCAGCACGAGGAUUGAAUACAUCAGCCUCUUGGGGGAGGCCAAUGUUUUCACUAAGCUUCACCGUGCACAAAGUUUCCUCAAGUCCAUUGGAUCUCCAUCCUCUUCCAACACCCUGUUGUUGCUGCUCCUGCUGUUGUUGGGGUUGUUGCUCUUGCUCACUAUAUUCAGGCAGGAACAGUUGAAGUUUUUCAGCUCGGACUGUGCUACCCCUUUUAUCUUUCGGACCCUUCAAUUUCUGUAUUAUUUUGAGGUCAACAUUGAAAGCAUCAGCCAAAAGUUGGUCAUCAAAUCCUGAGAAGAUGUUUCUAUGCUGCUGCUGCUGGCCUUGAUGGCCUUCCUUUCCACCACCCUGUUGCGGGUUUCCGGCUAGGAAAAAUUUCUGAAAGUAAAAAAAAAUUUUUUUUAUUAAGAUGGUACCGCAAUAAAAUAUGCCCAGAAAGAGAUUAUUUUUUGAUUAAUACUUGGCAAGUUUGGAAUGAUAGUUUUCUUACCCUGGACUGCAAAUCAAGCUGAUUAGCCUCAUUGGCAACAUCAAGAAGUGCGACAGUGACAAGCGGAACAUCUCCAUCAUUAUAUGUCCACUGAGUGAAACCAGGAAGCAAUAUAAGGACAUCUCCUUUUUGGAACCUUCUGAGCUUCUGAUGGCGGUCUGGAAACCUUUGCCUUUGCCCUUCCUGACCACCUUUGGAACCUUCUUGCCCUUUGCCCGGCUGUUCCUGACCACCCGAAAAUGAUUCGCCCUGGGAUUCAAAUGUUUCAGCACAACCAGGGAUCACAGUGCCUUGAACACCGGUACCUGCAUUAUGCCAAAAUGAUUAAAUCAUGAAAAAAAUCAAUUAUACGAUCAUUAAGAAGAAAAUAGAGAAAAACUUCCAGAAAUAAUGGAAAGAUGGGAAAUGAAACUUGCCUUCGACAACGUAGACGAAUUUCGGCACGUUAGAGUAAUGAGGCAAACGAAGGCCCUUAGGUUGGACAGUGUUACGCUCAAAUUCCACACCAGCGCACCCAAAUUCUGGAUUAUUAGAAUCCCAGAAUUCAGUUAAACCAGCCUCUGAUGGGAACCUGAAGGAUGGUUCUUGUGCAUUAAGCUUCUGAAUAUUGCACUGAGUUUUACCCCCGAGCCUUGGCUCUGGUCUCCCUAGUUGAGCCAAACAGCCGAGGAACAAGAGAAGAACGUACGAGGAAAGAGAAAUCAUAUGAGAGUGAGCCAUUCUCUGACAACAGAGGAGAGUGUAGUGUGUUUUUGUGGUGAGGGGAUGCGGCGAUUAGAGCUUGGAAAUGGCUCCUUUUAUAACAUGUAAUGGAAGAUGAGGAAUCGACACGUCAAAAUUUUCAUUUUACACUUGGCUACUCAGUCUUGUGCAUGGCUGAUGAAGAGGAACACUUCUUUACACCAAGGAUGAUGUGUAAGCCUUGGUGGCAAUGAGUUUCUGACAUGUAUUGUUCAAUCCUUUUGUGUUUGUAUUUGCAUGAAAUUUUUGUACUUUAGCAAUGGCAUGGUAAGGUGCAUUAUCUGCUACGAUGGCUUUUGAUGAAUCAAACCCCAAAUCAAACACACAUUCAUCUUGGGAUCUUUCGAGAUGUGAUAUGGAAAGAUGAUCACAACUGCUGCGUAUUACAUCACACCUAUCAUCUUCUGCUUUUAAGUUUCUAGUACCUAUCUAUCUUCAUCGAUUUUUAUUCACCUUUAUUGAAGACAAUUGGUUUUCACUUCUAGGCAAAUGACUGUUGCAGUUCAUAAUUUCAAUGCCUGGAAUAAAUAUCUGUUAAACAAUUACCGUUUCUAGUCUAGUGGCACGUAAUUAAAGGCAUUCUACAGGGAAAUUCCAUGAUUUAAAAUCUUUAUUAGCAAACAAAAGGCAGCCAAUCCAUGUUGGAUCAAACUAAAAGAUAGAGCCAGAAACCCAAUUUGACAUGGAAUAGAGUUUUACGUCUAACAAUUGAAUUGAAUUAUGUUCUUGAAAAGGUUGCUCAUCUACAUCGUUUUCCGCUGUAAUACAUCAAUAAACCAGCUGUAUCGUGACCCAUUGUAUCUGCCGCUUGGGUAGAGGUUAAAUCUCCCUCUAUGCAUUUCCUCUAUCCUUCCCCUUGUAGGUAGGCUUGAACUCCAAAAGAAAAGAGAAAAAAAAAGAAAGUACGAAGUUGAUUCCACUGACAUUUGUAUCAAAUUCAAUAUUUGAGCAAUAAUGAUCAUCAGCUUCUAGAAAUGAUCCAAGUCCAAGCUAUUGAUUCCAGCCUCCCAUAGUGUGUCUGAACAAAUUUCAAGAUGGUGAUAUGAUAGCCAAAUCAUGGACAAAAAAAGUUGCUUGGGAAGACUGUCUUAACCCCAGUUCCAGAGUUAGAUCAAUCAAUGGUUCUCUAAUCUAUUCCAUUCUAACAUUGUUUAGUUGAGUUUUUGUCUAUGUGUAAUUUCAGUUUCAAUUAAUUACUCAACUUUGCAUGUUUAGUGUUAUAAUCAUUAGUGCUUUUGGUACACCGAUGGUGCUCAUUUCAAAAAUAUGUAAUUAAUAAUUUUUAAUAAUCCACUAUUAUAUGUAGAAUCAUGUUAGAGCAUAUAUAUGCUUUUCUCAAAAUUCAUAGAUAUGAUUCUUUUUUGAUUUUUUAGGAAAUUAUUGUACUUAAAAUCAUGGUAAAGAAAUAGAGUGGAAGUGAGCUGAUAUGCUUAAGAUCAUGGUUGGAAGAGGUGGUGGACCCAAAUUGAUAAAUACACAAAACCCACAGAAACAAUAAAAAAAAAACGAUAUUGAGGCACAGGAAAAUUUUCUAUUAAUCAUAACAAGGCUCUGGCUACACUAUGCAAAACACAACGGAGGUUACUACUUCUUCUUAAGGCUAAAAGACGGACGCAACGGCUACACAUCAAAACCCCUUGGCGGCUAACUUCUAUUACUAACUCUGCUAGUCAUAAGAAAUUCAAUCCCAUGGGAUCACCCUACCAACCAACAAUACUACUUACCAAUCCCACAUGACAGCAUAAACAAAUAAUAAAGGCUUGGUUUGUGUUUCUAUAUUGCCUCCAUUAAACCAGUCUCCUCUAACUUGGACAUACCUAACAUAUUCUUCAACUCGACAAAAAUCUCUAUCUUCAAUAUCUUGGUGAAAAAUGUCAGCCGCUUACUAUUUAAUUCUGCAAUAAUCAAUUUCAACCUCUCUCUAUCUCGAACCAACUCACGUGUGAAGUGAUAUUUGAUACCAAUAUGCUUGUUACAUCCAUGAAGUACUAAAUUCUUGGACAACUCAAUAGCUGACUUACUAUCAUAAUAAAUUUUCGUAGGAUCAACCUGCUUGUAUUGUAGAAUACCAAACAUGCAAUGUAACCAUAAAACUUGAUUAGCACUAUUAGCUGCUGCAAUAUACUCUGCCUCCGCUAUAAACAAUGCAAUCACCUGUCGUUUCUUUGAACUCAAGGAAAAUAAGUCAGAACCAAUAAAAAAUGCAUAACUUGAAGUACUCUUCUUCUCUAUUGUAUCACCUGGUCAAUCACUAUCAGUGUAGCCAAACAAUUCAACUGGAUAAUUUUCUGAAUAUAAAAUGCCAACACUGCGAGUACUUUCAAUAUAUUUCAAAAUUCUCUUAACCGCCUGCAAAUGUGACUGACGUGGAUUUUUCAUAAACUUGUUAAUCACACCAACAGCAAAAUUGAUAUCUGGCCUCAUAGACGUCAAAUAUCUCAAAUUUUCUACCAAACUUUUAAAGUAGGUAGGAUUUACAUAUCCAUAACUGUUAUAUUCUUCCUGUCUGCCACUCCAUUUUGUUGGAAAAUGUACCUGGUAGUCAAUUGAUGAUGUAUCACAUUUUUUUCAAAAAAAAUCAUCACACAACAAAUAUUCCUGACCCCUAUUUGUUCUCAAAAUUUUAAUUUGAUACCCACUUUGUCUUUAACAAAAGUUUUUAAAAUUUUAAAAAUAUCACAGGCAUUAUAUUUUUGUUUCAAAAAAUAUACCAAGACUUUUCUACUGAAAUCAUCAAUAAAGGUAAUAAAAUACCUGCAACUACCAUUAGAAGAAACCAUAGUGCACAAGUCUGAGUGAAUAAUUUCCAAUGAUUUUUUGGCCCUCCAUGAUAUGUCAAUCUAAAAAGCAUCCCUCUAUUGCUUUCUCAAAACGCAUAUAUCACAGACUCUAAUAGGAUUUCUAGUAUUAGGCAAUCUACCAACCAUUUUUUUACUGGUCAAAAGUUUGAAAUUGUCAAAAUUCAAAUGGCCAAAUCAUAUAUGCCAUAACUAAUUACUAUCUUUUAUCACCAUAUUCAAACAAAAAAAUUGAUAGAACUCAAAUUCAAUGCAACUAAGCGAUUUGAAAUCAUUGAUACACUAGCAAUUAUUCCAAUAUUUUUUAUAAAAAAUGGUACAAGUACCAUUCGGAUACUAAUAUCAUUUUUUUUUUCUCAGAUAAUUGGCUUAUACUCAACAAAUUAUGAUGCAACCCAAGAACAUAGAAAACAUCAGAAAAAAAUUAGUAGACCCAUUUUUCAGACUAAUAGAAAUUUUUUCAAAUUUUACUUCACCAUGGACAGAUACAUCAAGUUCAACAAAUAAUUCUUUCUUGCCAGAUAUACCGUUACUGCAACCCGUAUCCAAGUAUCAUUUAUUUUUAUUAACUAGAUCAACAGCAUUACAGGCUAAUAAUGAAGUCUCAAAUUUUUUAUUAUUAUUCUACAUCUGAUUGUCAACAACAUUAGAUUGAAAAUUUCUAUCUUUUUUUUUUUCAAAUCUACAUUCAAUUUGUCUAUGACCCAAGUUUUCAUAAUUAUAGCAUUGAAUACUCUGUCCAAAAUUAUUCUAAUUGAAAUUAUUUUCUCUGCCAAAAUUACCAUCUCUGUCUCUAUCAAAAUCACCUCUAAAAUUAAAAUUAUUACCUCUACCACGUUUAAGAUUUAAUGUAUCUUCUCGACCUCUAUUAUUGUUCCUAUGACCACCUCUGUUAUUGUGACCACCUCUAUUAUUAUAACCAUCCCUGUUCAUCUGCUUGGAUUCACUUUGCUCUCUAACAUUAUUAUUGUCUUUCAAAUUCAGUUACAUAUGCAAUGCCUUCUCUACUGUAUCCAUCUCCGGGAUAUCCUCCAAUUUCUUCUUAAUUCUUUGUUCAUGCAGAAUUAAUGAUCCAUCCAAAUUUUCAAUAUUCAAAUUCUUCAAAUUUUUUAUUUCCUAGAUUAUAGCUACCACAUGAUCCAAUUUCGUGAGUAAGGCAUUGAAAACUUUUUCAACAAAUGUUCUAUUUGGAAAGUUAUACUAAUUAAGUUUUAUCUCGUUUUUAAUAUCUUACAAACGAAAAAAAAUAUAAUUCAAUAGAUUCCGACUUCUCUAUAGUCACACAUUCGAAUUUCCUGUUCAACAUCAUCAAAUUAUUUUGACGAAUCCUGUCAAUUCCUAUGUAUGUUUCUUUCAAUAUAUCCCAAGUCUUCUUUGUGUAUUAGCCGUAGCAAUUUUUUCAAAAACUAACAUGUCAAUUGCCUGAUGAAUCUGUGACAAAGCCAAGUUAUCUUUUGCCUUAUCAUUCUCGCUAGCAUUUUGAGCAAGUGUAGAUUCAAUAUAUCGUAAUUUACAUGCCUUAAGAUGAGUUAUCAUCUAUUUCUACCAAAAAUUGAACUUUGUUGACAAAACAGACAAUAUUGGGGUUUGGAUUUGCCAUACUUCAAUCUAUCAUAAUUCUGGUACCACUCUGAUGGACCCAAAUUGAUAAAACCACAAAAUCCACAAGAAUAAUUAAAAAAAUGAUAUUGAGGCAAAGGGAAUUUUCUAUUAAUCAAACAAGGCUCUGGCUACCCCAUACAAAACACAACGAAGGCUACUACUUCUUCUUAAGGCUAAAAGACGGACGCAAAGGCUAUAUAUCAAAGCCUCUUGGCGGCUAACUUCUAUUACUAACUCUACUGAUCAUAAAAAAUUGGGUAAAAAACAAAAAAGUCCCCUGUGGUAAGUUUAAUACACAGAAAAGUCCCAUAUGGUUUCAAAAUAUAGAACACGACACCUCAUGCUUUGAAUUAAAUUGUAAAGGUAACAGAAUCUGUUAAAUUUAACGGAAAUGACUUAUUGGAACUUUAAAAAAAAAAUUAUACCUAAUUUUUAUCAAAUAUACCUAUUCUACCCCUUAACCCUCAAUUCUCUCUAUUUAGAGAAUAAAACAAAUGAUUUUUUUGAGCUGUCUUUUGCUUAAUUAUAUCAGGGCAUUUUGGUCAUUUUGUCCAUUUCCUUUAAGUUUAACAGAUUCUGUCACCGUUACAAUUUAGUUCAAAACAUGAAGGGUCGUGUUAUAUAUUUUGAAACCAUGGGAGACUUUUCUGUGUAUUAGAUUUACCAGAGGGGAUUUUUUUGUUUUUUACCCUAAGAAAUUCAAUCCCAUAUGACCACCCUACCAACCAACAACACUGCUACCAAGCCACUAACGUCACACGAAAAUAUAAAUAAAUAAUAAAGACUUGGUUUGUAUUUCUAUAAAAAGGACAAAAUAAAAGUAAUUUGAAAACUAAUUUUAGAGAACGUUUUUAGUAUAAUAUCAAGUGAUAUGUAUGAUUUACACCAAAGAAAUUCUCCCAUUAUAUAUAGUAUAAAUAAUUAGAUGAUUAUGUGUUUUGAUUUGGUUAAAGUCAUGUUCGAAGCCAAGCACCACGCAAGAAAACUCGAAUGGAAUAUACCACGCAAGUUCGAGAUACAUAUAUCAUGGAAAUCCUUGUGUACAAACAUCUCAUCUUGAGAAUUUACAAUUUGUAGCCAUAUAUGGGCUAAUUUCUCAGAUUAUUUGCAUUUAAAAAAAACAACCGUCAAAUACACCUUUGUCAGGGUCGUUUCUAAUUGUAUAGCAGCCGUGCUGAUUGGGCACGGUCCCAUGACAAAAAGUUUGACCGAAUGUUCUCUGCAAAAAAUUCAGUGGUGCACGGUAGGUGUCAGACAGGGAUGUGCUGAUUGGGCACGUCCCGAACUGACAGAAAACUGAGUCGGUCAAAUUAGCUGUCAGAUCGGGACGUGCUGACUGGGCACGUCCCGGCUGACUGAAACUGACCAAGUCUGGGCAUUGUCCCCGGCUAACAGAAAACUGGUUCGUCUGGGCAUGAGAAGAUUCUUGGAUAUAAAGCCUCCUCCUAGCAUGUCUUACAGAAAUGUGCAAAAGCUUCUUGUUCUUAUCCUCGAAGAGAUUACAACCUGUAUAUAGUGAUUUCAUAGCAGAUGAAACUCGUUGUCAAUUAACUUUAUCAAAUGGUCCCUGAAAUGAUGUUUCGGGUCCAUUAUGGAAAAACUCUAAAUGCAAAAGCAACAUAUCCCACUUAAUAGAGAGUUUGGCUAAACUAAAAGACAGUCCUACAAGACAAAUGCAAAUUCUUAAAACAUCACUUUUUUUUACUAACCUUUUAUUCAUAAUCUACUCAAAUUUAGGCUAAUUAGACUACCAAAGUGAUUAACAAAUCUACAAACAAAAGAUUAUUCAGUCUAGUUUUUAAAGUUGUUAAAUUAAAAUUCUAAACUUAAUAAAUUUACUAAAACCCCUAAUUAUACCUGAAAAGUCAGAAUUAAUUCACAAAAAUACGCAUUAUCAUCAUAAAGAAAGGCCAGAACUCUAAACAUGAGAAAUUUAUCCAUUUUUGGCACAUGUUGAGACCCUAGCACAAUUAUGCAAAAGUUAGGGGACAAAUUAUAAAUAUAAAUUAUGGACUUAGAUCAAAAUAAGUGAACAUAAGAACAAUGUGUAUAAUUUUCAGAAAAUUAAACAAUGCCUAAAACAUAUAAAAUAUGUAAAGCUGCAUAUUAAAAACAAAACAAAGGAAAAAUAAAAAUAAAAGUUUGGUUUUUAAAUGUUGGGUUAAAAACCAAGAAAAGAAUGGAAACAUAAAACUAGAGCUAAAUGCCCAGACGAACCAGUUUUCUGUCAGCCGGGGACAAUGCCCAGACUGGGUCAGUUUCAGUCAGCCGGGACGUGCCCAGUCAGCACGUCCCGGUCUGACAGCUAAUUUGACCGACUCAGUUUUCUGUCAGUUCGGGACGUGCCCAGUCAGCACGUCCCUGUCUGACACCUACCGUGCAUCACUAAAUUUUUUGCAGAGAACAUUCGGUCAAACUUUUAGUCAUGGGGCCGUGCCCAAUCAGCACGGCCGCUAUACAAUUAGAAACGACCCCUGACAGAGGUGUAUUUGGCGAUUGUUUUUUUUAAAUGCAAAUAAUCUGAGAAAUUAGCCCGAUAUAUGUACAUUUUUAUUUGCACAUACUUGCUCAGUGACAAUUGAAUUGUACACAUGAAGCUUGCAAUGUCCAUAAAAGCAUACAUAUCCGUGCUUGUACCCCAUUUUAAUGAAAAAAAUUCAUGAAAUUCAAGUCGCACUACCCUUUUUUCUAAAUUUCAUCAUCGUUAAUUUGAUCAAUCAAAUAUUUUGAUUUCCCAUCGACAUUUUCCAUUAACAUUUAAUUAAAUACUAACAUCAAUUUACACAAAGAAUUGUAAUCCAUGCUUGAUAGUCCCAAUAAUUUAUCCUCUCUAGUCAUCAAGUUACAAUUCCCGCAAUCAUAAUAAUAAUCUUGGCUUGCGCGACAGUUGAACCGGUCAAUAUUUUGGCCAGACCGAAUUGGCAGUUGGACUUAAAAAUGAAGUAACUCGUUGACUAAUUAAUAAUUCAUCAGUUCAAUUAGUAAAAUUUAAAAAUUUGAUCGAUCCAAACACGAUCGAUGUCCGAUUGGGUUUAAUAACUAUACUUGCAAUGAUUAAUAAUUCAACGAUUCAAUUAGCAAAAUUUAAAAAUUUGAUAGUUUCAAGCACAGGUUUAUUAACUACGCUUGCAAUGAUUAAUAAUUCAACGGUUCAAUUAGUAAAAUUUAAAAACUUGAUAGAUUCAAACAAUAGAUGAUGUCCGGUUGAAUUUAAUAACUACGCUUGCAAUGAUUUAACAUGGCAGCAAAUGUACUUUGUUUUGAAUCAACUCAGCUACUCCAUGAUUGAAAAGAUUUUUUUUUUUUUUUUACUAAUUAGACUUGAACUCCAAGAAACAUUUGUAGUAAUUAAAAAAAUGAAGGGUGAGUACCGAAAUAAAGAAAACAUGACACGAAAAAGUAAAAAGAUAACUACCCAUUACUCCUACAACACUCUCUAUCGCACACAGUAAUGGCUUCAUCCUCGUCGAGCUCGUCUGCGAUUUUCAGCUUCGUCUCCAACCCCACCGCCACUCGUAGUCUCCCUCGGCGUCACUUCACGCGGCAACAUUUCGCUUCAUCCCCAAAUACCAGAAAGAAAUUCCCCAUUUUUACUCAGAAAACGGCUAGUAGACGAACCAAUACAGCAAUAACAGCAAAACUCGGACAGAAAAGCGCUCUGGAGUAUAGGAAACUCGGAGAUUCCGACCUUAUUAUUAGUGAAAUCACGCUUGGCACCGUAAUUAUAAGCUUUCCACUCUUCUCGUCUGUUAUUUGUUAGUUUUACUGUUUUAUUGAGUUACCAAGGAAAUGCAAGAAAAAUCUUGAGUUUCUUGUAGCAUAUGUGGCGUUCAUCUCUUGUUGGUUAGUCGAGAAAUUGAAUUUAGCUUGCACAAUUGUUAAAUUGGAUGGAACCCAGUACAAAAUACAAAUAGGAUAAGAUUACAAGGGGUGGUUUGGUGCAAAAUUUGAUUCCCAACUCCCAAGUCCUAACUUAGUUAACCGAGAUGAAGUGGGAAUGGUGUCCAUGCUUGAUGGUUUACUCUUGAUUGUGGAACUAAUAGAACUAUGAUCAGGAAUUAGGAUUAAAUGUGAGAAACAACUUCAAACGGGGGUAUACAAUGCGUGGUUAUUUUGCAUCUUGCUCUGCUGGGGCAUGCAUCUAUUACCUUUGUACUCUUAAUGUGUUUGGUAAUAAAUUUUACUCUUUAGUUUCAGAAGCCUCUGAUUCCCUCAGUGGUAAAAGUACUAGAAUAUCCCCUUGGCCCAUAAAUGCUAUACUGAAAGUUUUGAGCUUGAAACCAAUGGCCAAUUGAACAAACAGUCUCCUUAUCAAGGCCUAAGUCCAGAUUUUAGCUGUGUACUAUGUUACUCUAAAGACUGAAUUUUGACACAAUCCUCAAUCAUCUGUAUGUGCCUGGAUGUCAAAUUUGGUUUCUCCUUCACCGUCUCCCUACAGUUACCCCUUCCUUAAUAUAGGUGGAGACAGUGAUAAGUGUUGUUGUGCUACAAGUCAUUUUGGGGAGAGGGGUUCUUCCCUGAUAUACUGCAAUGGUUUGCUAAAAUUUCUUUCUUCUAUAUUUGUAAUUUGGCAGGCAGUAUUCAUUCCGUGGUAAGAACACUAAAUUACAAUAGAAUCACUAAUAGAAGUAAAAGCUUUUGCUUUUCUGUGUUUAGAUGAUUUUGAUCCUGACAUCAUUCAUCCAUGCAAUAUUUCAGAUGACAUUUGGACAGCAGAAUACAGAGAAAGAGGCACAUGAUAUGCUUAAUUAUGCGUUCGAUAAUGGGAUAAAUGUCUUAGAUACUGCAGAGGCUGUAAGCUAUUUGAUACUUAUGUCUUAAAGUAUUUUCUUGCUACAAAAAACUGCAUCUGGAAGAAAUCAUUAAGUCUCAGAAUAUACUUCACAAUAAAACAUUUUCCUGAUCAUUAUGUUCGAUGUCACUCUAUGGAGCUUUGCCAUUAAGGAUCUGUGUCUGUACUUGUGUUGUGUUUCACAUGAAUUCACUCUCUUUUAGUGCAUUGGAACUUUUCAGUUUUUGCCUAUCUAGGAGCUCAACUUUGUUAACCAAAACCUUGAGGGUUGGCUUUUCCAAAGAAAUUGAACUUGGCUAACCAAGUGGUAGACCUUUUUACCUUUGAGUUUGAUUUCUCUUUAAGCAAAGUUUUCUGGAUAUAAGUGGUGGAGUGAUGAGCCAAUCUUCCAGUGAAAUUUCUUUUGGAUGGAUCUUAUGUUAUAAGAAGCUUGUCACUAAUAGUGAUAUUUUGUUCUUUGAAAUUGUAAAAUUCAAUCAAUAAUUCCCCUUUAUGUUCAUUUACUCUACCAUAGACACCAAGUUCCCAUAUAUAUCUUACUUGUGGUGUUAUUCUUCCAUCAAUCUCCUAAGUACCCAAUUCCAACAAGGAAGGAGACACAAGGGCUGACAGAUCGCUAUAUUGGUAGCUGGCUGAAGUCUCAACCCCGUGACAAGGUACUAUAUUCAUUUGUCCAGGAAAUUUUUUUCUCUGCUUUUUUGAUUUCCCAAUCAGCAGUCAUAAUUUUGACUUUGUAGAUGUGCCUUUGGUUUUUCAAUAUCAUCACUUGGUAGCCUGUCUAUUCGAUAAUGUGGUCCCUUGUCCAAAUGCAUGGCUAUGCUUGCUUAGAUCUUGUUUCGUGCAGGUCAAAAUUCCAGCAAUAUCUUUUUGGUGGAUUUGCUUAACAUGAAUGUUUUUUUGUUUGAAUUUUCUCUGAAAUUCUGCAUUUUUCUGAGAAUUUAAAUAAAGAAAAAUUAUUAGUGUGUUCUGGUCCAAGCUAAAUCAUUAUUGUUAACAGUUGCACCGAUUGCUAAAUCCUUAUGAUGCUACUCAGUCUGUAAUUUGUAAGUGGGCCUUUUUGACAGUGGUUUUAGGCUUGUUUAGGUACCCAUUUUUGAAUAUUCUAAGGAAGGCCUUUUGGUAUUCAAAGAGAUGUUUUUCCCUUGAUCCAUUUCCAGUUCAUUUGACAAGGUUGCUUUUCUAGCUACAAGAAAAUGAUGUGACAGGAUGGAUUUGGAUUCUUGCUAUUGUUAUUAGAGUCGAAAUUUUUUGGGGGUAGUCUCUCCAAAUUAUUGCUUCCUGUUCUUAACCAUGAACUUAAAUAAACAUCUGUUUUUUGCUCUUAAUAAACUUCUGUUAAACCAAUUAUGUUUUCUUUUAUCCAGUUUCAUGUGAUAUUUUUGUCAGGACUAAACUGAUUAUGUUAAAGCUUUCUUUUUUAUUUUAUCUUUUCUGAAGUUUUUGUUUUCCUGAACCUUGAUAACCUGCUGUUUUUUUUCCUACACAGACACUGAAUGUUGAGAUAGUCAAUCACCAUGUUUACUGUAUUUAAAUGCUACUCAUCAUUUUGAACUGUGGGCUGCCAUAACUUGAAGUUACAGUGUCCUAAUCAAUGACUAGGUUAUCGUGGCAACAAAAAUAUCUGGUUAUUCGGAGCAGCGAAGCUUUUUAAGGGAGAAUGCAAAAGUUUUGAGGGUUGAUGCUGCUAAUAUAAAAGAAAGUGUAGAAAAAAGUCUUCAACGUCUUGGUACUGACUACAUCGAUUUACUCCAAAUACAUUGGUAAGCAAUUAUACUUACCAGCAUUGCACGAUCAAUUUUUUCGAACUCUAAUUUUGUUUGACACUACUCAUUGGUUACCUUCUUCAGUGAAAAUCUUUAUACCUAUCUUAACUCUUUAAGUGUGACAUAUUUCAGUUUAUCUUUGGUAAUUUUUUGACUUAAAACAUACAAAUGAACCUUAGAACCAUAAAAGUGGCAAUCACUGGAUAAAGCUAAAUCUGUCAAUAAAUGUGAAAUGCUAUGUCAACAUCCUAACCCCCUAAACCCGCCUCGCCUGGCAGGGGUCCCCUGGCUGGGAGAAAAUAAAGUAAAAGAAAAAGAGGGCAAGGUGCGAUUAUUUACUUUUAACUAAUUCCAAGUCAACUCAAGAACCCAAUCCACUUUGAUUACAAUUCAGGUCGUCUCUUCAUUGUUUGCAUGCAACUGCAUUGACAGGCAAGUCAAAUUUAUUUUUACCAUUGCUUGAUUGGUAAAUGGCUGUACUAUUUUAUGGUCAGGAGGGAUAUAGUUGUAUCUGAAAGAGAGUUAGAAUUUAGAAGAAAGUUUUAGCACAUGCAAGGGAUUUAACUGCAAAAUGGAAGAAAGCAACUAGACGUUAUUAUAAGGGUUGGACGUAGACGAGGCUAUAUGGCCCUUAAUUUUGUCCACACAAAAGUGCAAAUGGCCGCCGGCUUUAUAGAUAUCCUUGGGAUUGUUUCCCAAGUGUAUGUUGGCUAGAAUUUUGAAUUUUUCAUAAUCUGGGUCUGUGACAGAGUAUUUAUCCACUGGACUAAUCAAGCCAAAGCGGUCUUCUUGGUCUGCAUAUCUCAUAAAAUAUUUAGCAGAUGCUUAUUUAUAGUCAGAAGGCCGUUUCAUAAAUGUGGCUCCUGAAUUGUUAUGCUGCUGUUGUAUCCUGCAUUCAUAAUACAGCACAAAUGCUAUGAUCUACUGCUAUUGGCAGGCCAGCCUAUUAUGAUGGGGUAUUUAUUAGAAUACUGAUAUUUCUAUUGAAAAUUGAAGAAGAUUAAAGGUUUUACUGAGGUUCCCAAAAUACUGAAAAUAGAGAAACUGCUUGAAAAAGUGACAUUGAGUAGAUCUUAUAGAACUCAGAUAUUGAUGAUGAUGGUGGUGGUGGUUGUGGAGAGGGAAUUAUUGGGAGUGAAAGAUGCUGGCGCAGCUUGUAUGGUUUGCUUUGUGGUUGCUCUUCUACUUUAUUCUUCUCUUAUCAUACGUCCAUGAACAAUGUUUCUAGAAGGGAAAGAGAAGAAGGAAAGGGAGGGGAAGGACCGGGAGGAGUUUAAGAAGCAAAAAGGUAGGAUAAGGAGGGGGGGAAAAGCCUUGGAGUCUCCCCUUGAAGCAAAAAAGUAAAAAAAAAAAGAUAGGACAAGAAGUGGAAGGAAAUUAGAAAAAAGACAAAAGGAAGAAGAAGCCGAUUUAUGAGAAAUCCAUUUUGAAGUCAGCUUUUGAAAGAUGAUUUAAAGUUGGAUUUUUUAGAAGUCUAUUUUGCAAUUUUGGGAAGCUGAAUAAAACCAACAAUAGUUCUUUAAUUUCCAAUAAAAAAUCAAUAUUCUGGUAAACAACCCCACCUCAUUAUGACUUCUUUAUAUCUUCUCUACUUCUCUUCUUUGAAGCAGUGGAGCUCAUUUUAUAAGUUUAAAGGGAUCACCUAUUAGUCCUGCAUAAUGGAAUAUUGAGUCUACAUUUAACCUAUUUAUUAAACCUGUUCAUCUAAAACAUCUUCCUGCACCAUUCAGGGUUUACCUUCUUGUCAAAUACACAAAUUUCAUGAAUUCUUCUCCUAUAUGUCUGCAACAAAAUGGCCCCCUCUCAGAUUUGAGAUAAUAAUUAUACUUUUGUCUCAGGCCAGACCGUUAUGUUCCCCUGUUUGGCGAGUAUUUUUAUGAUCCUUCAAAAUGGAGGCCAAGUGUUCCUUUUGUCGAACAACUGACAGCAUUCAAAGAACUCAUUGUCGAAGGGAAGGUACCAGAAAGCACAAGUUUCGUAUUUAGUUUACUUAAACAUUGUCUUUGCAUCAUAAAUGAGUUAGCAAUACCUGCUUUACACACUUGAAUGUUUAUCUCUAGAGCCCCAAUCUUUGAAUAAACUUGUCAAGCAUUACUAUAACUAUGAAUGGGAUUCUCUGGGCUAAUCUACUGGAUGUAAAGAAGGAAUUUCCAACAGCUUUAUUUUUAGCAUGCACAACUUCAUUUUUGUCCCUUUUUUGCUUUGCUUCUUCUGCUUCAGUUUGUGUCUCUUUGGCAAUAACAGAGAAACCUUUUCAGGUACGACAUAUUGGUGUUUCAAAUGAAACUUCAUAUGGAGUAAUGGGAUUUGUUCAUGCUGCUAAAGACAAAGGAUUACCAAAGAUAGUUAGUAUUCAAAACAGCUACAGUCUGCUUGUAAGAUGUAAAUUUGAGAGUAAGUUAUCUUCUGACUCUGUCUCAUUUUCUAUCAUCGUUAAUAACUAAAAUACGUUAUUUCUGACUGUCAUAGCUUGGAUCUUCUUUGUUUAAAUGCUACUUUUAGAAAUACAUGUUCCUUCCAUCAGAGCCUUGACUAACUAGUUGCUUUUCCUUUCUUCUGUAAUCAUUCAAAAGUUCUUCAAUCCUGCCAUAACACAGAUUUAUAAUAUUCUCAAACAGCAAUAACUUUGAGGAGAAUUGUAUAUUUGCGUGUGAUACUUUUAGGUUUUACAUUGUAUUUGAUUCUUCGCAGUUGAUCUUGUUGAAGUAUGCCAUCCAAACAACUGCAACAUCAGCUUACUUUCUUAUUCUCCACUGGGUGGUGGUGCGCUGACUGGAAAAUACUUGGAUAUCAAUUCUGAAGCUGCAAAGAAAGGAAGACUCAACCUCUUCCCAGGGUAUAUGGAAAGAUACAACAAAUCCAUUGCCAGGGUAUGUGUUAUUUGAGUUUGAUAAAGCACGGAAAAUAGCUUUUUACCUGUCUUUGCUUGUAAGGAGAAUAUCAGAUUGAGAUGCAAAUUUAUGCAGAAAAUGCACAUGGUAUAAUCAUCUUCCUGCCCUCUUACAUGCCUCAAAAACUUUUGACUAGCAAUUCAUAAUUUGUAAUCAUUUCUAUUGAUUUUUUUUUUGGUCAUGGCUUGUAGAUGUGAAAAAUAAAUGUUAGUCACGAAAUUAUUCGUGCUUUUUCUCAGGCACAUGUUGAUGACUUUGGGUGAGAAUUGAGAUAUAAAACUUAUUCUCAAUGUCAAAUAAACAAGGCAAAAUUUUCUUAAUAGUAUAAUUUGCUGUAACUUCUAGAUAUGUUCCACUAGUUCAAAUUUUUGUGCCGUGUUCUUCACUUACUUUUGCCAUGAUGAAAGUACGCAACCAUUCAUCUUUUUGACACUUGAGCAACAAAACUGCUUUUAGUAUACUUCUAUCCAGAAUAGCCUUCAGUUCAGCCACAGCAGUUCUACAUUUGUUUCCACAAAAGGCUACUUAUUCUUCUGAAGAGAUUACAAUUCUAUUCACAAUGACAAAUCCAUGUAUUUUUGAUACCAUUCUUUCUAGAUCAUGCACUAAUUCUUUCCAAAUAUUUUAUUCCUUUUUUCACGUUAAAUGAGCAUUUUCCAUGUGAGUAUCUAGCUCAUGUUUGUAUGUUGGAAUUACAGGAAGCAACAGUACAGUAUAUGGAAGUGGCCAAGAAACAUGGGCUUACGCCUGUAGAGUUAUCUCUCGGUUUUGCACGAGACCGACCAUUUAUGACAAGCUCAAUUGUAGGUGCGACUUCAGUGGAUCAAUUGAAAGAAGAUAUCGAUGCAUUUUUGACAGUUGAGCGGCCUUUGCCACCUGAAGUGAUGGCUGACAUUGAAAGCGUCUUCAAUAGAUACAAAGAUCCUGCAAUUCUUUAGAUGAGGUGCUUCACAUGAAAAGUUUCACUAAAUCCUUCUCCUCUAAAACUAAGUUGCUGCUGAGGGGAUGCAUGACUUGCAUAUUCUGCCUUUUUUUCCUGAAUGGUUCGGGCGGCUUCGAGCAAGCUCCAAACUCUCAAGCCCGACAUGAUUUUACUUCUUUGUCUUCUCAAGGCGAAGCUAUUCUUUGGGGCUUCUUUGGUAUUGCUACAGAGAGAUACAGUUUGCUUCGUGUAUUAAUAGGACUUGUAUUUUGAUCUUUGGUCAAUAUAAGCGUACGCUAUUCUUUUCACCCUGAGCUUUCUCGUUCUUGCAUGGCAGUUCAUUUUUCUCCUUUGGGUUUUCUCGUUCUUGCAUGGCACUAAAGAUCACAUGCAAACAUAAGAAAUCACGUUUUGUACUUUUAGCUUUUAAAAUUAUUAGUGCCAUUAUUGUAUAUAUUGAGGAAAUUUCAUUUAUUAAUAGUUAGUGAUUGACUAAUCUUUAAUGUUGAACAUAUUUGGUUCCGAGAAAACAACAUAAUUACUUGUAAAGUGUAAACUAUUGGCACCAUAAUUAGUAGAAGUAGUAGUAGUAUAGAAAUUAUCAGGGUAAAAAACCAAAAAAUUCCCUGUGAUUUGACAAACAUUUAAUUUAACUUCUUCUGGUUUGAAAAUCUACACUAUAACUCCCUAUGAUUUUGAUUAAAUUGAAAAUUGGACAUAAAACAUCAAAUCUAACGGUUGUGUGUGAAAUGUCAAUAUUGUCCCUACUAUACGUGAGAUGCUUUUCAUUCAAUUUUCAAUUUAGUCGAAAUUAUAGGAAGUUAUAGUAUAAUUUUUUAAAUCACAGGGAGUUAAAUUGAACAUUCAACAAACCAUAGGGAGUUCAUUUACAUAAGGGCAAUAUUGAUAUUUCACAUCUAACCGUUAGAUUAGAUGCUUUCCGUCCAAUUUCAAUUUAGUUGAAACAACAGAGAGUUAUAAUGUAGGUUUUCAAACUAGAGGGAGUUAAAUUGAAUAUUUAGCAAAUCACAAGAAAUUUUUGGGUAUUUUACCCUAAUUAUCAUCCCAAAAUCUAUUUAAAAAAAUCUACUAGCAUGGCUAUGAAAAUAUUUCCACGCGUCAUAUGAAAAAGGUGUCAUUUAAGAGAUUUUCGAAGGGCAGUUUUUAUAAGGUGGUUAAGAGGACCAAAUAAGCGCGCCAAAGUCGCUCCCCAGUCCAUUGAGCUGCAAACGUUCUCCUAAACUUGUGUCACUUUCUCUUUCCUUACCUUCUCUCUCUUCAACUCCCUCUUCUUCUUUGCUAUGUUUGAUCUGUUCUGACAACGUAAAUCUCGAAACCCUUUUCGUAUUUCGAAGAAUCCGACAUGAAAUCAUUCGAAUUCUUGAGGAUUAUGAGCGUGGAUCACUAGUUUUCUUGAAUAUUCAAUAAAGGUUAGUUGUUAGUGAAGAAAAGUGUCAAGGUGAUAUCUCGGAUUUGACAAAAGAUUAGCUGAAUUUCGUAAGGUAAAACAUUCUUGUUAAGAUAUUUGGGAAGUUAAUGAUAGGCCAUAGCAGAUUGGAUUGGCAUCUAUGAAGACUAUGCGGAUGGUUGGGACAAAGAGGGUACAGUGGUGGCUGCCCAAGAAUUAUUUCAGAUGGAAUGGCAGAUCCUGUUAGUUAUGGCAAUCCUGAUCGUGACAUUGAACAGGUAUUUCCAUUCUUUUUCUUUUCCUUUUGCGUUUCCUUAGUCGAAUUUAUUUUUCCCAAAGAUGAAAUUAGACACAAGAAAAGGAUAGGUUUAUCACUUAACAUAGUAUCGGUUCAAAAUGAGAGAACAUCCCUUAUUUAAUUAGUUUGUAUAGUGUGUUUUGUUGGUUCAUUUGGACGUUCUGAUUGGCCUAAAAAUGCCUAUCAUGCCUAGUGAACUGACUAAAUGAGUUUCCUCAAGU
Molecule: long non-coding RNA, 18204 nt
Filed under: Coffea arabica (coffee)
Lineage: Eukaryota; Viridiplantae; Streptophyta; Magnoliopsida; Gentianales; Rubiaceae
Description: long non-coding RNA (CARA_LNC002110)
Source: RNAcentral